RNAcentral lists this ribosomal RNA (460 nucleotides) under uncultured bacterium. RNAcentral describes it as "partial 16S ribosomal RNA". It matches the Rfam family "Bacterial small subunit ribosomal RNA", at positions 338 to 795 of the family's 1533-position model. The record is from RNAcentral.
CCUACGGGAGGCAGCAGUGAGGAAUAUUGGUCAAUGGACGAGAGUCUGAACCAGCCAAGUAGCGUGAAGGAUGACUGCCCUAUGGGUUGUAAACUUCUUUUGUACAGGAAUAAAACCAGGCACGUGUGCCUUUCUGCAAGUACUUUACGAAUAAGGAUCGGCUAACUCCGUGCCAGCAGCCGCGGUAAUACGGAGGAUCCAAGCGUUAUCCGGAUUUAUUGGGUUUAAAGGGAGCGUAGAUGGUCUGAUAAGUUAGUGGUGAAAGUUUGCGGCUCAACUGUAGAAUUGCAAUUGAUACUGGCAGUCUUGAGAGUAGUUGAGGUAGGCGGAAUGCAUGGUGUAGCGGUGAAAUGCUUAGAGAUCACGCAGAACCCCGAUUGCGAAGGCAGCUUACCAAGCUGUGACUGACAUUGAUGCACGAAAGUGUGGGGAUCAAACAGGAUUAGAUACCCGAGUAGUC